This 336-nucleotide unclassified non-coding RNA is filed under the name soil metagenome. RNAcentral's name for it is "partial contains 5.8S ribosomal RNA, internal transcribed spacer 2, and large subunit ribosomal RNA". The stretch from base 1 to 120 matches the Rfam family "5.8S ribosomal RNA", at positions 35 to 154 of the family's 154-position model. The record is from RNAcentral.
GAUGAAGAACGUAGCGAAAUGCGAUAAGUAAUGUGAAUUGCAGAAUUCAGUGAAUCAUCGAAUCUUUGAACGCACAUUGCGCCCGCCAGUAUUCUGGCGGGCAUGCCUGUUCGAGCGUCAUUUCAACCAUCAAGCCCCCGGCUUGUGUUGGGGACCUGCGGCUGCCGCAGGCCCUGAAAACCAGUGGCGGGCUCGCUAGUCACUCCGAGCGUAGUAAUACAUCUCGCUCAGGGCGUGCUGCGGGUUCCGGCCGUUAAAAAAGCCUUAUUUACCCAAGGUUGACCUCGGAUCAGGUAGGAAGACCCGAUGAACUUAAGCAUAUCAAUAAGCGGAGGA